Molecule: ribosomal RNA, 468 nt
Filed under: uncultured bacterium
Lineage: Bacteria
Description: partial 16S ribosomal RNA
Rfam family: Bacterial small subunit ribosomal RNA
Source: RNAcentral
GACGAACGCUGGCGGCGUGCUUAACACAUGCAAGUCGAACGGAAAGGCCCUGCUUUUGUGGGGUGCUCGAGUGGCGAACGGGUGAGUAACACGUGAGUAACCUGCCCUUGACUUUGGGAUAACUUCAGGAAACUGGGGCUAAUACCGGAUAGGAGCUCCUGCUGCAUGGUGGGGGUUGGAAAGUUUCGGCGGUUGGGGAUGGACUCGCGGCUUAUCAGCUUGUUGGUGGGGUAGUGGCUUACCAAGGCUUUGACGAGUAGCCGGCCUGAGAGGGUGACCGGCCACAUUGGGACUGAGAUACGGCCCAGACUCCUACGGGAGGCAGCAGUGGGGAAUAUUGCACAAUGGGCGGAAGCCUGAUGCAGCAACGCCGCGUGCGGGAUGACGGCCUUCGGGUUGUAAACCGCUUUCGCCUGUGACGAAGCGUGAGUGACGGUAAUGGGUAAAGAAGCACCGGCUAACCACGUG